RNAcentral lists this ribosomal RNA (253 nucleotides) under uncultured bacterium. RNAcentral's name for it is "partial 16S ribosomal RNA". It matches the Rfam family "Bacterial small subunit ribosomal RNA", at positions 524 to 776 of the family's 1533-position model. The record is from RNAcentral.
UACGUAGGGGGCAAGCGUUGUCCGGAAUUAUUGGGCGUAAAGAGCGUGUAGGCGGUCCGGUAAGUCAGCUGUGAAAGUCAAGGGCUCAACCCUUGAAAGCCGGUUGAUACUGUCGGGCUAGAGUCCGGAAGAGGCGAGUGGAAUUCCCGGUGUAGCGGUGAAAUGCGCAGAUAUCAGGAGGAACACCGGUGGCGAAGGCGGGUCUCUGGGCCGUAACUGACGCUGAGGAGCGAAAGCGUGGGGAGCGAACAGG